GCGGGAUCGUCGCUGUUGGUAGCGGCACCUGGCUCUGAACCAGGAGUGCGUUGGUUCGAUUCCAACUCCCGCAA
Molecule: transfer RNA, 74 nt
Filed under: Planctomycetales bacterium
Lineage: Bacteria; Pseudomonadati; Planctomycetota; Planctomycetia; Planctomycetales
Description: tRNA-Gln
Rfam family: tRNA
About the family: Transfer RNA (tRNA) molecules are approximately 80 nucleotides in length.
Source: RNAcentral